UACGUAGGGACCAAGCGUUGUCCGGAUUUAUUGGGCGUAAAGAGCGUGUAGGCGGCCAUGUAGGUCCGGUGUGAAAACUCGAGGCUUAACCUCGAGAUGUCAUCGGAAACCAUUUGGCUAGAGUCCGGAAGAGGAGAGUGGAAUUCCUGGUGUAGCGGUGAAAUGCGCAGAUAUCAGGAAGAACACCAAUGGCGAAAGCAGCUCUCUGGGACGGUACUGACGCUGAGACGCGAAAGCGUGGGGAGCGAACAGG
RNAcentral lists this ribosomal RNA (253 nucleotides) under uncultured bacterium. Its description in RNAcentral is "partial 16S ribosomal RNA". It matches the Rfam family "Bacterial small subunit ribosomal RNA", at positions 524 to 776 of the family's 1533-position model. The record is from RNAcentral.